This 169-nucleotide non-coding RNA is filed under the name Gossypium hirsutum (cotton). The record is from Rfam by way of RNAcentral. Lineage: Eukaryota; Viridiplantae; Streptophyta; Magnoliopsida; Malvales; Malvaceae.
GCCUCUGAAAAGGUAACUGCAACAUAUAAAGGCUUUCUCGGACCAGAAGGAGAUUGGCCCUCAAGUGCAAAAACAUAAUAAAAUUUAAUUGUAGGACCCACUUGUCAAAUAGGGAUGAAAGUGAGCCUUAAAGAUUCGACAGUGCCAGAUGAAAGGGUCAUUGCUCAAU